AGUGAACGCUGGCGGUAGGCCUAACACAUGCAAGUCGAACGGCAGCACAGUAAGAGCUUGCUCUUACGGGUGGCGAGUGGCGGACGGGUGAGGAAUACAUCGGAAUCUACUUUUUCGUGGGGGAUAACGUAGGGAAACUUACGCUAAUACCGCAUACGACCUACGGGUGAAAGCAGGGGAUCUUCGGACCUUGCGCGAUUGAAUGAGCCGAUGUCGGAUUAGCUAGUUGGCGGGGUAAAGGCCCACCAAGGCGACGAUCCGUAGCUGGUCUGAGAGGAUGAUCAGCCACACUGGAACUGAGACACGGUCCAGACUCCUACGGGAGGCAGCAGUGGGGAAUAUUGGACAAUGGGCGCAAGCCUGAUCCAGCCAUACCGCGUGGGUGAAGAAGGCCUUCGGAUUGUAAAGCCCUUUUGUUGGGAAAGAAAAGCAGCAGGUUAAUACCCCGCUGUUCUGACGGUACCCAAAGAUUAAGCACCGGCUAACUUCGUG
This 492-nucleotide ribosomal RNA is filed under the name uncultured bacterium. RNAcentral describes it as "partial 16S ribosomal RNA". It matches the Rfam family "Bacterial small subunit ribosomal RNA", at positions 29 to 507 of the family's 1533-position model. The record is from RNAcentral.